This is a long non-coding RNA of Aethalodelphis obliquidens (Pacific white-sided dolphin), 5376 nucleotides long. RefSeq lists it as uncharacterized. The transcript has 2 exons. Lineage: Eukaryota; Metazoa; Chordata; Mammalia; Artiodactyla; Delphinidae. The record is from RefSeq and is a predicted model, not a curated record.
UAUUUUCUAUAGUUCUAGAGGCCAGAGCUUGAAAUCAAGGUGUCAGCAAGGCCACGCUCCCUCCGAAGGCUAUAGAGAAGAAGCCUUCCCACCUCUUCCAGCUUCUGAGGGCCCCAGUUAUUUCUGGUGUGUGACAGCACAACGCCAACCUCCGUCUCCACAUGGCCUUCUUUGUGCCUCCGUGUGUCAUUUUCUGUCCCUUAUAAGGAGACUCACUGGAUUUGGGCCCUACCCCAAUCCAGUAUGAUUUCACCUCAAUUCUUAUCAUAAUUACAUCUGCAAAGACUAUUUCCAGAUAAGAUCACAUUCUGAGGUCCUGGUUGGACAUGAAUUUUGAGGAGACCCUGCACAACCAGCACAAGGAUUGAUUAUGUCUCAGGCACCCGGCUAGGUUCUGGAGGAAGAACGUCCUUAAAUAAGGAACUAAAGAAGCCAACAAGCAAACUAGGGUUGUGAUAAGUGCUCUAAAGGCCAUGAGCAGGGGAAUCCAUGGGAAUCAGUGUGGGUGGCAAGGAGGCCUUAGACAGGGUGGUCAGGAAAGUCCAGUCUGCAGAGCAGAGCUGAGCUCCAAAAGCCACGGAGGACCAGCCGCACAAAGGUGAGGAGGAGAGUGCGCACCUGAUGGACGGGAGGGGCAGAGGCCCCGGGGAGCUGAGGGGCUGGGCAAGUUCCCAGGGGAAGAAAUCCAGUGAGACUGGGGCAGGGGGAGAGCAAAGGCAGUGACAUGAACUGAGCUUGUCUAAAGCAACCUUUAAGAAUUUGGAGUAGGAGUGAAGACAUUAGACUACAUGUCUGAAGGUUCCCUCUUGCGGUGGCCUGGAGGAUGGGGGGUGGGGGGGAGGCAGGGAGAUAAAACAGGACAUUACUGCAGGCUUCCUGGAGAAAAGAUGCUGAGAGCCUGGGCAGUUCACGUGUACCCAGGGAUGGGGCCGGGCGGCUGGGAGAGGCACCUGGUGGAAGAAUGGACAGGACUGAGCUGGUGAAUAGACUUGGGGUAAGGGAGGAGGAAGACCCCAAGAGGUCUUCCAGAACAGGGUUUUGAUGACUGGGUAAAAACCAGUGCCAUUUACUGCAAGGGAAAUGCAGGAGAGAAAAUGCCCAGUCAGUCACUUGGGACAGCUCGGAAAACACUGGGCAUGGGGCCAAGUAGGCCACCAGGGAGCUGCCACCCUGCACAGUCCUCCUCCGGGAGCGUGCUGCCCACACCUACCUCAGGUCCAGGCAGGUCGGGACACCACUGCGCCCUGUGUGGAUGGCUGUUCUUUGCCCUCCGUGGGGCCCAGAGCGGGGAGACGGAGGGAGAGCAGCCCAAUCGCUUGCCAACCAUGACCAGGCAGUGCCCGUCGUCUGUUUAGAAUUAUGGACAAGAGACUCCAGGUCCCUCUGAGGUUCUCUAGAGGGAGGGAGGGAGGCCACAGCCAUGUUCCUUCGCGCAGAAUCUUGUUUAUUUCUCCAGACAGCCCUUUCAGGUAGCUGGUGUGAUUCCCAUUUUGAGAGACGAGGAAAUACUUGAAGAAGGUAAACAUCCUGAUCAAGCUCACACAGCCAGUAAGUUGCAGAGCCAAGACCCAAGCUUAAGUUUCCUGAUCUGGGCAACUCUCUUCUCUUUCCAUGGCCCUUUGUCACUGGAGAAGGGCACCGUGGAAAACAGUUGACUGCCCCACAUCAUGGAGAGGAUCUCAGAUGAUGGCUGGCAGAGUCACUUGUCAGGUGAGACUGGGGUUCAAGUCGUGGCUUCACCCUUCACUGGCUGGGUGACAUGGCUUAUUCACUUCAGUUCACAAGCCUUAGAUUCAUCCAGCAUACCUCUUCAUAGGAUUAUUGUGAGGAUUAAAUGAAGUCAUUAGGGCAUGAAAAUCACCUAGCACAGUGCCCAGAAUGGAAUAAGCAUUCAAUUCAUGCUAGCUAUGUAAUAUAAUAUAAGUAUAAUGUAAGAAAUUUUCUGAUUUCCUGAAAAUAUUAAUAUUACCAAGAGUUUUUGAGUGUGUGUGUGUGUGUGUGUGUGUGUGUGUGUGUGUGUGUGUCCUGGGAGAUGUUGCAGGCCAAGAAGGAGAAUAACGUGCUGACAGCUACAUCAGUUAAGAGAGCUAAGACCCCAAGUGGGUGGGAAUAACCUUGCCAUCUGUCCUUCCCUCCCUGCGGGCAGGCCUGGCAAACUCUUGAGAGGUGAGUGUGGGUCCCAACAUGGGGGCUAACUGUGCCCAAACUCCCUUUGGCUACAAUCUCUUCAUGACCCCAGCAGUGGAGAAAAUCCCUGCUCUCAGGAGGUUUAAGAUCCAGAGGGAAGUGGUGAAAUUAGUGGAGAAAAGAGGGCAGCAAUGGCAGGAAGAAGCCCCCAGGACCGUCUAAUCCGCCUUUUCAUCUGAAGGUUUUGAAGGGCAGAGAGAGUCCACUUCUGACGCUGUGUCUUUGGCUUGGAUCUUGCUAGGAGAGAGCUGCAGAGAACAGUUGUUUGAAGGGGAAAGGAGGUUAAUUGUUUUAACUUGAGCAGAGCAAACUUGGAAAGUGAGAAAUCCUCCCUCUUCCAACAGGCCUCUGGUCCAAAACCACACCUGGCCUCGCAUCCUUCUAAUGAUAAUCCCCACCGAGUUCCAGGUGUUGAGCCCAGUGACUGAUGGUGAGCCCUGCCGAGUUCAGAGGGACAAGAUGGAGGCUAUAUAUAAAUCCAACAACGUUUCAGAAGGUAAAAGACGCAUGACCGAUUACGAAAGCUUAUAUUGCUCUGGGAGAGUGCCGGAGCUUUAUUUCUGCCCUGGCUGAUGUGUUGUUCUGUUCCCUCUUGGAAGACAAGGCAGUCUCUAGGCCACAGUUCCCCAUCUGUGAAAUGGGGUGAGAUUAUCCACCCUGUGGGACUCAUCCUGCGUGAGGCACCUUUGAAGGCUCCAGAGCACGACAGCAGGAUGCGCUCUGAAGAGCUGGUGCCAGUAUUCCCAAUGGCAAAGGCAUCAGGGCCAGCUGACGCCUCAGGAGGCGUCUGAGAGACCAGCGGGGGACAGCUGGUGGCGGGCCACACCUGCGAGCCUGGUGAGGGUUGCCAGGAGGACUGCACGAUGGCAGCAGCUGUGGGGCGAGGUCAGCGGGCAGCCCAGGCAGGAGUCGGGCAAGACGGGGCCUCUUGGAAGGUGGUGGCUGGCAUCCGGCUCUCCUCCCAGGCUCUGUUGCCAUCACCGAGCCACACACAUCGACGGGAGGAGGCCAGCACUUGAUGAUGCCAGCAGGGAGGAAACUCGGAAAAGUCGAGAAAGGUGAACGCAGAGCCACUCCACAAGAUCCAGGCUCUAGAACUGAGAUGUGCCCUCUUAGAGCUGACGGUCUGGGGCCAAGCACAGGCUCUCCAGAGGGGCGAGGGCUAAGACAUCACCUUUCCUAAUCCCUUUAUUUUAUACAGGUGGGAACUCAGGCUCGGAGAGUAUUGGUGGCUUGCCCAAAGCCUCACAGCUAAAUAGCAACAGACCAACCAGUCAUUUCCUACGUGUUUCCUCUUUUCAGUAUAACCUAGUCUCCCUAAAUGGUUCAGCGUAUGCCAAACUUUUGGAAUUUUCUUUCUCCCCAAUAAAGGUAACUUCGAGAGGUGCUGUGGCCUGGUGGAUAGAGUGGAACUCUGGUCUUUCGGGUCCUUGCUUGUACUCUGCUCCUAACCAGAAGAUGGUCUUAGAGAUGGCAUUUAGGGCCAUAAUUGAAAACUUGGCUUAACUCAAAGUCUCCCCCAGUGCCUUGGGGGUGGGAGAUGGGAGGUGCACCCACCCUGGAGGAGCCCUGACCCUGAGCAGGGAGGUGGUGUGUUAGUUCUGGCACACAGCCAGGCAUGGUGACGGCUGUGGUUAACAUAGUCCUGAGUGUGCCUUUCAGGUAACUACCCUUCAGCCCAGUCUCUGGACACGCAUUUCAUACGCAAAACAAGGCGACCUUCCAGGGAGCCCAUGGGCUGUAAUCAGUCUUCCUUCAACCUCAAGGCCCCAUUGGCAGCCACUGCCCCAUGAUGGGCAUCGUCAGGAGCUGUGGUGACAAGCCUGGUGGUAGGAGUGGUGGCAGCUCGGCCUAGUAUGACCAGAGCAACCAGGCCGGGGGGCACCUAACCAGCCCACAACAGCAAAGGCCCCUCUUGAAGGGGAGGGUCCCUCAAGUUCACUGAAUUAUCAGUCCACAGCCUCGGAGGGAUCCCGUGUGUUGCUUCUCACCUGUGGUCGGAUGAUCUGGAGUAAGUCACUUUACACCUGAGCUUCAGUUCCCCAAACUGCAAAAUGUGCAAUAACAUCAUAGACUAAUGGGGGUCAUUGUAAGAACUCAAUGAGGUAACAUGACAACAAUACCUAGAAUAGUCCCAGAAUCUCAGGAGUCACUCAACAAGUGAUAUUUCCUUCCAUUUCCCUCUUAGCGUUAAAUAUCAUUGAAACUGUCACCCACGCUCUUUGUCGUCUUCCAUUUGGGCAAAUAAGCACAUCGAACACACAUACACACACACACACACUCUGUCUCUUUCUGUCGAGAAAGAACCCUAGCUUGUCAGUGCUUACAGGCACUGUGGAAAUGCCCAGCACAGAGCUCUCAUCACACAGGUGAGGGGCUGGUGCCCUGAGAGACAGCGUGGCUUGGCCAGGGCUGUGCGGGCACAAGUUGCAUAGCUUAUACUUCCUGCUAAGUCACGUCAUGGUCUCCAACUUAGCUGUGGGAUGUUUUGGGACUGCAAGCUGAUGGCAAGAAGAUGAGCUUUGUCUCUUAGAUACCAGGGCCAGGGAGGUGACACACUGCUGAUGCAUUAACUGGCUGACCCAGAAUGUCUCAUAUAACUUCUUCCUCAAAUAUUUUUGAGAUGGUAACAUGUCAUCCUGGCUUUGUGCUACUCAACAUGGCAGCAGAGGGAUUUGAAAUUAUUCUAUUACAAUCUUCUCUGUAUGACGAUGAGGUUUCCUCAGUUUUGUGCAGUUAGUGGGACAGGGGGCAGUAGUCAAGGUCUUGGAGAAUUUGUCCUUGCUUACACAAGGUAAUUCAUGUAGGACACAGAAAGGUGGUACCAUCACACACAAGCACACGGUCACACAUAUGUGCACACGCAUGUUCUCUCCAGCAUGAUUGCCAGCACAUCUAUCAUCUAGCUGUCACCUCUUUAACUUGGUAAAAGAGAAUACACAAAAGUGAAAUAAGAAGAAAUCAUCUGCUAGUUCAAAGCCCAUUUCAGAAGGGAGCCUAAAUAUAUUUUUUCUCCAUUUCCUAUCUCUUCCCUCUGUUUUUUUCCUCUUUUCGGUCUUUUUUUUUUUUUUUCUGACAACACUGAAGAUCCCCUGAAAGUGGUUAGAUCCCUUCUCAUCUCUGCUAAACGAAUGCUGUCUCUACCUAAACCAGUAAAAAUAAAUCAAGACCAAACAUCACUUAAGGGCA